Molecule: ribosomal RNA, 577 nt
Filed under: Badhamiopsis ainoae
Lineage: Eukaryota; Evosea; Eumycetozoa; Physariida; Physaraceae
Description: SSU rRNA
Rfam family: Eukaryotic small subunit ribosomal RNA
Source: RNAcentral
AUGCUUCUCCUAAAGACUAAGCCAUGCAUGCCUUCGAAUAGAAGAGCUUUCUCUCUGAAUCUGCGAACGGCUCCGCAAACCAGUUGUAAACUAUAGCAAGCUCGCUUAGGGGUUCUGGCCUUCGGGUUAGGCCUCUAGGUGAUAAGGAUAUCCUUGGUAAUUCUGAGGCUAAUACAAGAACGUACCACCCGGCCAGCCGGUAACGGCAGGCUAGGGUGUGUGCAAGUUAAUCUAGGCAAUAUUUUGCCAGGAGAGGAUGCACGCUCGGACCACCAUACCAAACAGUUAGGCUUGCCUGAUCCCCCCUCGGGGGGAAACGGCAGAUCUUUCUGGGUGGCUCUUGCUAUGUGCUUCUGACCUAUCAACUAGAUGGCAGCGUAACGGACAUGCUAUGGUAACAACGGGUACAGAGGAUAAGGGUUCGAUCCUGGAGAGUGGGCCUGAGAGAUCGCUCACACUUCUAAGGAAGGCAGCAGGCGCGCAACGUUCCCAAUGGACAAUGUCCGAGGGCGUUAGGGGACAUAUGAAUGCCUGCCUUAUGGUAGGCAAUUCAAAUGGGUUUGUUCUAAACAGCCCU